GGGACUGUAGCUCAGUGGUAGAGUUCCUGCCUAGCAUGCAUGAGGCACUGGGUUCCAUUCUCAGCACCA
This 69-nucleotide transfer RNA is filed under the name Ictidomys tridecemlineatus (thirteen-lined ground squirrel). Its description in RNAcentral is "Spermophilus tridecemlineatus (thirteen-lined ground squirrel) tRNA". It matches the Rfam family "tRNA". Rfam says of the family: Transfer RNA (tRNA) molecules are approximately 80 nucleotides in length. Their secondary structure includes four short double-helical elements and three loops (D, anti-codon, and T loops). Lineage: Eukaryota; Metazoa; Chordata; Mammalia; Rodentia; Sciuridae. The record is from Rfam by way of RNAcentral.